CGAACGCUUGCGGCGUGCCUAAGAAAUGCAAGUCGAGCGGGGGAGCAGCAAUGCUUUCCAGCGGCGAACGGUCGCGUAACACGUAAGCAACCUGCCCCAAAGACCGGGACAACAUCUCGAAAGGGGUGCUAAUACCGGAUGUGGUUGUCGGGGGGCAUCUUCCGGCAACGAAAUCCUGCUGCAAGGUGGGGCUUUGGGAGGGGCUUGCGGCCUAUCAGCUAGUUGGUGGGGUAACGGCCUACCAAGGCGACGACGGGUAGCUGGUCUGAGAGGACGGCCAGCCGGACUGGGACUGAGAGACGGCCCAGACUCCUACGGGGGGCAGCAAUUAGGAAUCUUGCGCAAUGGGCGAAAGCCUGACGCAGCGACGCCGCGUGGAGGAGGAAGUCCUUCGGGAUGUAAACUCCUUUUGCCAGGGAAGAAGGAUGUGACGGUACCUGGUGAAGAAGCCCCGGCUAACUACGUGCCAACAGCCGCGGUAAUACGUAGGGGGCGAGCGUUGUCCGAAGUUACUGGGCGUAAAGCGCGCGUAGGCGGGCGGCUAAGUGAGCGGUGAAAGGCUCCGGCUCAACCGGAUGCAGUGCCACUCAUACUGGCGGUCUUGAGGGCGGCAGGGAGAAGUGGAAUGGCUGGUGUAGCGGUGAAAUGCGUAGAUAUCAGUCGGAACACCUGUGGCGAAGGCGGCUUCUUGGGCCGCACCUGACGCUGAGGCGCGAAAGCCAGGGGAGCGAACGGGAUUAGAUACCCCGGUAGUCCUGGCCGUAAACGAUGGAUACUAGGUGUCGGGGGUAUCGACCCCCCCGGUGCCGCAGCUAACGCAUUAAGUAUCCCGCCUGGGGAGUACGGCCGCAAGGUUGAAA
RNAcentral lists this ribosomal RNA (860 nucleotides) under uncultured bacterium. RNAcentral describes it as "bacterial SSU rRNA". It matches the Rfam family "Bacterial small subunit ribosomal RNA", at positions 30 to 899 of the family's 1533-position model. The record is from RNAcentral.